AGUGAACGCUGGCGGUAGGCCUGACACAUGCAAGUCGAACGGCAGCACAGUAAGAGCUUGCUCUUACGGGUGGCGAGUGGCGGACGGGUGAGGAAUACAUCGGAAUCUACUUUUUCGUGGGGGAUCACGUAGGGAAACUUACGCUAAUACCGCAUACGACCUACGGGUGAAAGCAGGGGAUCUUCGGACCUUGCGCGAUUGGAUGAGCCGAUGUCGGAUUAGCUAGUUGGCGGGGUAAAGGCCCACCAAGGCGACGAUCCGUAGCUGGUCUGAGAGGAUGAUCAGCGACACUGGAACUGAGACACGGUCAAGACCACUACGGGAGGCAGCGGUGGGGAAUAUUGGCGAAUGGGCGCAAGCCUGAUCCAGCCAUACCGCGUGGGUGAAGAAGGCCUUCGGGUUGUAAAGGCCUUUUGUUGGGAAAGAAAAGCAGCAGGUUAAUACCCCGCUGUUCUGACGGUACCCAAAGAAUAAGCACCGGCUAACUUCGUG
RNAcentral lists this ribosomal RNA (492 nucleotides) under uncultured bacterium. Its description in RNAcentral is "partial 16S ribosomal RNA". It matches the Rfam family "Bacterial small subunit ribosomal RNA", at positions 29 to 507 of the family's 1533-position model. The record is from RNAcentral.